RNAcentral lists this ribosomal RNA (420 nucleotides) under uncultured crenarchaeote. Its description in RNAcentral is "bacterial SSU rRNA". It matches the Rfam family "Archaeal small subunit ribosomal RNA", at positions 459 to 879 of the family's 1478-position model. Lineage: Archaea; Thermoproteati; Thermoproteota. The record is from RNAcentral.
CAGCCGCCGCGGUAACACCAGCCCCUCGAGUGGUGGGGACUAUUAUUUGGCCUAAAGCGUCCGUAGCUGGCUGUAUCCGUCUCCCGGUAAAUCCGGCGUCCUAAGCGUCGGUUCUCGGGUGAUACCAUACAGCUAGAGGGUGGGAUAGGUGAGCGGUAUUUCUGGGGUAGGGGCGAAAUCCUUUGAUCCCAGGAGGACCACCAGUGGCGAAGGCUGCUCACUAGAACACGCCUGACGGUCAGGGACGAAAGCUGGGGCAGCGAACCGGAUUAGGUACCCGGGUAGUCCCAGCUGUAAACGAUGCUAGCUAGGUGUUGGGUCGGCCACGCGCCGCCCCAGUGCCGCAGGGAAGCCGUUAAGCUAGCCGCCUGGGGAGUACGGCCGCAAGGCUGAAACUUACAGGAAUUGGCGGGGGAGCAC